GCAGCCCCCGCCGGCGGGCGGGCAGCUCCCGGCGCCUCGGGCCGCGGCUCCCGCGAGAGCUGCGGCUGCUGCCCCGAGCGCGGCGGGCGCGGGGCUGCGCGGAGCGGACGGGACCGGACGGAACGGGACGGGCUGCGGCCGGCGAGCGGCAGCGCCGGUGCCAGCGCGCCUUCUCCGGUGUGGGUCAGCGGGGAGCAGCACCUCGCUUUACCUUCAAAAGCUGGUGCUAUCGGACGGGCUGUGGAUGGGUUAAUUGGGCGACUUAAUGUAACCACGCCAGCAGUCAAAACAGAUCUUGUCAGGCAUGUGAUCUCAAUGUCUAUGAUCUUCCUCCUGGAAAGGUAUUUCUUGGCUCAGGUCUCUCUGGACUGGCACUGAAGUAUCCUUUGUCCUUUUAUGUGGUUUGUAAUGCUUGGGAAAUCGUGCUGGAGACAAAGGUUGUGUUCUGAAGCCCAGGAGAUCGGAACUGAAUGUUCUUUUUGUCACGUCCCUCCCUACCUAUGUCAGCCUUCCAGCAGCAGGGAGUACAGAGCAGAGAGUACCAGUUACCUGCACUGACCAUAAAACUGUGAAAAACCAUUUCCAUGGCACAGCACACCAGCAGAGUGGAUGAAACAAUGGAGUCUGCCCAAUUCUUUUACCAGGAUGGAAGAAGAGGAUGAGCAUCCAGUCUUCUGGUUUAAGAGGAGACUAUAAAGGUACCAGAUAAGUGGAAAAGGCAAAAAGCAUCAGGCAGUAGUAGACCUUAGUUACUAGUUCAAAUGAAAAUACCACUACACAGACCAUAAGGGUUUCAGGUAAAUGAAGCAGUAGAAGCUUGAUUGUGAUGGCAGGUGUUUGAAAGAGCUAUUAAAUUACUCUAGCUGGUUCCACAUCAGUAAAAAAGUGAUUGGUUUUGAGAACUGCAAAAACAGUAUUGUAAAGCUAAUAAGCAUUAAUCAGAUGGCAAGAAAAAUGCAGGAUUGCAGGAACAGGGAGGAAAAAAAUUGUGAAGGAAAACUUAUUAAUUAUGCCUGACAACUAGAGGGAUAGACCAGCCUCUCUUUAGCAGACAUGGAAUCAAAUUAGUUAUCUUUUUCUUGACUUCUGUGCCUUAUGGGUUUAUGCACAUAGGAGGAAUCCUGCUAAAAAUAUGCUGUUUUCAGCAGAAAGUGAAGAGUUCCAUUUGAAUCAUCUUUGUAUGUAGCCAAAAAAAUUAUUUGAGAGCAUUUUGAGUAUUACUGUCUUUUGUCAAGGUCCAGAGAGGAGUUGGAGGGCAGACACCAGUUUCAUACUCUGCUCAUCCCUCCCUUGCAUGCAAAAUUGCACCAAGAAAAAUCAAAAUAUUGCCCUAUUCCAGCAGCAGUGCUUUAUGCUCUUUCCUACUUCACUAUGUCUAUCUUAUUUAAAUGUGGGGUAGUGAAAAUCCUGCUCAAUAAUAUGUCUCACAAAUGGAGAAAAACUACAUGAUGCAUAAAAGGACUUUCACAAAAAGAAUGUAAUUUCUCAUGCAAAUUCAUUGUCUUUUAAUAAAACAACCCUGGGGUUUUUAAACACCAACUGUUAUCUGUAAAUGUCACUGGAACCACAUUAUAGCUGAAGUGUGAGAGUAUGGAAUAAACACAUGAAUGUUCUUAUUGAAUGUAACGUGAAUAUGCAAU
Pyrgilauda ruficollis (rufous-necked snowfinch) is the source of this 1640-nucleotide long non-coding RNA. RefSeq lists it as uncharacterized. Lineage: Eukaryota; Metazoa; Chordata; Aves; Passeriformes; Passeridae. The transcript is spliced from 3 exons. The record is from RefSeq and is a predicted model, not a curated record.